RNA transcript from Anopheles coluzzii, 4411 nucleotides. It is a transcript of the gene named calmodulin, with no coding region annotated. The record is from RefSeq and is a predicted model, not a curated record. The transcript has 6 exons. Lineage: Eukaryota; Metazoa; Arthropoda; Insecta; Diptera; Culicidae.
AGUUGAAUCCGAGUCGUCGUGGAAAACGGUUCUGAGUGUUCCGAGCACAAAAGCCAAACCCCUUUCUGACAACCAAGGUGACAGCGAAGUUUCGCAAACAUCAACAACAACACACCGUGUGACUUGGUCGUUUAUUAUCAACCCCCAUUCCGGUGAUCGUUCGAGGAAAAAUCUUCCCCCUUUACUACGCGAAAAUCACCCGCACGCGCGUCUGUGUGUGUGUGUUGCGUAGCUUUUUCCCGGUCGGUGGCAUUUGUGGUGCGGCGUUUUUUGUAACCCCGUAAAGUGUCUCCCUGUGUGUGUUAAUGCAUAUACAGUGAGUACGAAAAUUGCAUCAGUGUGUGUGUGUGUGCGUAACGCGUCGCCAGUGCAAAAGUAAGAUCCGUCGUUCGUGGUAAGAGAAAGAGAGAAAGAGAAGAAAAAACAUCGCAAGCGAAGAAACGAACCCAUCGGCAUCGAUACGCAAACACCGCAUCACGGUGCACUGAGCGAGAGAGCGAUAGCGAAAGAACGAGAGCAAACAGUUCUCGUUGCGUGUGCGCGCACCUCCUACCCCGUAUCUGUGUGUUCGCGAGAAGGCGAGAGAGAGAGAGCGCAGCUGAGCGGCCGCAAUAAGGGCAGAGAGCGUGCGAGAGCGAUAACGUGCGCGCGCGCCUGUGUGUGUGUGUGUCCCGCAGUUCGACAGUGAAGCAGCACCGGACCCGUCAGUCCACUCUGAGCAGGCAGCGGAAGCAGCAGCAGCAGCAGCAGCAGUAAAUCGUAAGCCGCAGUAGUUAGCAGUUGUCGCCCGAGAGUGUUCGCAGAGCCCAGCAGAGCGUCACCCGAGAAAGCAGCAGCAGCAGCAGCCAGUGUGCAAAAAGCAGCGAAACCACACACUACCACACCACCACUCCAAGCACCAAACACUCUUAGCAGCAAAAGAUGGCCGAUCAACUUACGGAAGAACAGAUCGCUGAAUUCAAAGAAGCGUUCUCGCUGUUCGACAAGGACGGCGAUGGCACAAUCACCACCAAGGAAUUAGGCACCGUGAUGCGAUCGCUAGGCCAGAACCCCACAGAAGCUGAAUUGCAAGACAUGAUCAACGAAGUCGACGCGGACGGUAACGGCACGAUCGAUUUCCCCGAGUUUCUAACAAUGAUGGCUCGUAAAAUGAAGGACACGGACAGUGAAGAGGAAAUCCGGGAGGCAUUCCGAGUCUUCGACAAGGACGGCAACGGUUUUAUCUCUGCAGCUGAGCUGCGCCACGUCAUGACUAAUCUGGGCGAGAAGCUAACAGACGAGGAGGUCGACGAGAUGAUCCGUGAAGCCGAUAUAGAUGGCGAUGGCCAGGUUAAUUAUGAAGAAUUCGUAACAAUGAUGACAUCGAAGUGAGCUACAGGUCGAUACAUUGCGCCUUUCUAUUUGUUUAUUAAGAAGACUGUAGCCACGCGCAACAACAGCUGCGCAACGCUAUCGAUUUGGAUUUAAAAAAAGAGCGAGAAGCGGAAGAGGUGGAGAAAUGCAGCGUGGGAUUUAAUGGAGUGGAGGAGACAAGAGCGAGAGGAGGAUGAUGAUGAUGAUGAUGAAAAGAAAGGAAGUGGAAAAGAGCUACAUACAACAACAAAAACGCAACGUAAAAGAGCAAGAAACCAUACAGAAAAGAGUAAAGCUAACGAGAGAUAAACAUUAAAUAAGAAAACUCUUAAGCAUAACACAGAAGUAAGCAGUAUACAACAACAAACAUGAUGGAAACAAAUUGAAAACACUACCUAAGCAUAGCAAAUCAACAAACAGCUUUUUGAUAACAUCUCCAACCGAUAUGAAAGAUAGCAUCAAAAAGCGCUGCCCGAAAAUAACAUCAGCAAGCAAAAUAAUAGCAAAACAGCAGCUAUAAUAUUUUAACAACUUUCAACAGCAGUAACAACAGCAGCAGCAAAAAUAAACAACAACAACAACAGCAACAGCCAUAAUAAUAUUUAAAAACAAAGCUUCUUCAUCACCACCACCACCACCCACCCACUACCAUCACAUUGAGACACAACAACACAACAACUCUCUCUUCCCACGCAGACGAAAGAAAGAGAAACAAGUGUUUGCGUGUGUCUCUCAGCAAAGCAUUUGCGUGUGUUCCUAUGACACCACGAGCACGAAUUUGUUCAACAGCCCAACACCAAAGGAAAGCGUUCAGCUAACAGCAGCAGCAGCAAACUCAGCGGCGGCGGCGGCAUCAGCAGCAGCAGCAGCGCAAACAGCUAAAGCGGCGGCGGCGGCUUCAGCAGCAGCAGCAGCAGCAGUAGCAGCAGCGCAGAUAGCAGCUUAUCCUUUUAUCCUAGUAUGAUGGCCGAAUUGGAUUGAUUGAUAUAGUUGUAUCUCUCUUUGUCGUCAUUUAGUGGCUUAUUGACAGUGUGUAUGUGUGGUGCGUAAGACGAUUGCUAUCGAAGCAGCAACAGAGUAGUAGCCUCAAUCCGAUUUAGGGGUAGUUAAAUGCUUGCACUUAAAGAGGGACCUAAGACGAACAGAAUCAGAAGAAUGAACCGGUGGCUGCGUGUGUGUGUGUGUGUGAAGAAGAAGCAGCUGUGUUGUAUCCUUCGGACAAAAAAAAACAAAACACAUCGACUACGAUUUGCAAAUCCAUCUCACGUUUAUGAAACGUUCUUACGCUGUAGAAAAAGAAAGCAAGUAACCAACCCACACACGCAUACACACACCGUAUAUGAUAGUCUCACUCGGGUUUUAGUAGCAGAGGGAGUGUCGAGGAAGUGUAUGGUGUCCAAGAUGUCAGUUAACACCGGUUUAAUCAAUGUUUAACAUGAAAACGUUUGUCAGCAAAUUGUCAGUUACAAAACAAAAAUCCACCUUAGAAUGCAAUGCGAAGCGAAUAUUGCAAAACACAGCACCGCAUAUAGUGUAUGGGAAUGAAUGGUAUAAGUGCGUAGUUAAAAACACACACAACAAAGCAUAAGAAGAAAGAGAAGAGAAAAGAAACACAAAAGAUAGUAUAAAAAUGCAGUAAGUAACUCAUUAUUGAUAAAAAUAAGAGCUUUUCAACUAAAGAACUACUACUACUACCAAGCUAGUAAGAGAAGAGAGAACGUAUUUAAAAGAAGAAAAAACACACACAAACAAACAAUACAAUCACACACAAACACACACACUCACAGACUUUCGAGCACACAACAAAACCGUUUAAACAAUUCCAAAACAAAGUUAGGAAUCAACGAACACACUUAGCUCUACUACACACGAUACAAAAAAACUCCCAAAAAGAAAGACAUUUUCUUCCUUUCUUUCUUUCGUCGUCGUUGUCGUCGUCGUUGUCGCGUUUGUUAGUUGAGAGGUAAACAGCGAAAAAAACAAAGUUAAAUAAAAAAAAAAACAAACAAAAAUCCAAGCAAAACCCACUACGAGCAUAAAAAAAGGAUAAAACCUAAUAACAAACCCAAAAAAAAAACUACAAAACAACAGAUAACAGAAAGAAAACAGCUAAUUACAACAAUUUUCUCGCACACAAACAAAUACAAACAUAGGCAAACACAUACACACACACACAUACAUACGCAUACAAAAGAGAAGAAGGAAAAUAUAUGAUAAGAGCAGAAGCAAGCAAAGGCAAGCAGCAGUCGCAGCAACAGCAGCAGCAGCAGCAGCAUUUUGAAAAUGGUUGGCGCAUUAAUGCACAUAUACAAUUAAAAAAGCACGGAACAAGUGAAAACAACAACAACAAAAUUAAGAAAAACAGAAGGUGUUGUAAUGCAAAGGUAACAAAGAGGAAAACAAAGCAUAAGAAGAAAAGUAAGUUGCAAACAGGUACACUAGUAGAUUAAAAAAACACAAAACUGGAAACAAACAGAACAUAGAAAGCGUCAAAAGAAGAGAGGGAAAGCAGAAAAGAACGAAGAUAUAUUAAUACAGUAUAGAUAUCUAUAUAUACACACACACAGAGUAAGAGACAGGAAGAAACGUACAUACACAGAUUUGACACAAAAAUCCCCACCAUCGCCUACUACACCACCACCACCACAUUGUUGCGUGCGAUCGCCCGCGUGUGUGUGUGUGUGCGUUUGUGUAUGUGCGUAUGCAUUAGUUGAUGUGCGUGAGUGUUUGCAGCGCGCGCAACACCUCCCGCGUACGCGUAGCAGAGUGUUGUGGGUUGCGCUUUAACGUGCGCGCUGCGUAAAUGGAGGCGCACGGGCGCCCACGUGGCACGGAAGAGAUUCGUUUGGAAGAAGGGUUUGUAGGCCAGAGGAGGAGAAGGAGGAUAGGGUUUGUUGCGUGUUUUGGGAAGCCCGUUGGAUAUGGGAAUUGCAUUUGAAAUAUAGAGAGAGAGAGAGCGAGGAUACUGAUGUGUGUUGGUCGUUUGAAGGCAAGGCAGAGAUGAAGGCAAACAAAUAUAAUAAUUAAUAAACAGCUGAAGAGCACUCUCUACUACCUA